This 300-nucleotide ribosomal RNA is filed under the name uncultured Prevotella sp. RNAcentral's name for it is "bacterial SSU rRNA". It matches the Rfam family "Bacterial small subunit ribosomal RNA", at positions 495 to 795 of the family's 1533-position model. Lineage: Bacteria; Pseudomonadati; Bacteroidota; Bacteroidia; Bacteroidales; Prevotellaceae. The record is from RNAcentral.
GGCAGCGCGUGGCAGGAUGCAGGGGUAAUACGUGUGGGGGGAGGGUUAAUCGUAAUUAUUGGGCGGGAAGGGGGCGUAGGCGUCUUCAGAAGUCAAAGGGGAAAUCCCUCGGCUCAACUGAGGAACAGCCUUUGAAACGGUGGAGCUUGAGGCCGGGAGGGGGUAGCGGAAUUCCCAGUGUAGCGGUGAAAUGCGUAGAUAUUGGGAGGAACACCAGUGGCGAAGGCGGCUACCUGGACCGGAACUGACGCUGAUGCGCGAAAGCGUGGGUAGCAAACAGGAUUCGAUACCCGAGUAGUC